RNAcentral lists this ribosomal RNA (736 nucleotides) under Salmonella enterica. Its description in RNAcentral is "partial 23S ribosomal RNA". It matches the Rfam family "Bacterial large subunit ribosomal RNA", at positions 2197 to 2925 of the family's 2925-position model. Lineage: Bacteria; Pseudomonadati; Pseudomonadota; Gammaproteobacteria; Enterobacterales; Enterobacteriaceae. The record is from RNAcentral.
AUACCACUCUGGUCGUUCUGGAUAUCUAACCUCGGUCCGUGAUCCGGAUCAGGGACAGUGCCUGGUGGGUAGUUUAACUGGGGCGGUUGCCUCCUAAAAGGUAACGGAGGCGCCCAAAGGUUCCCUCAGCCUGGUUGGCAAUCAGGUUUUGAGUGUAAGUGCACAAGGGAGCUUGACUGUGAGACAGGCAUGUCGAGCAGGGACGAAAGUCGGGACUAGUGAUCCGGCGGUGGCUUGUGGAAGCGCCGUCGCUCAACGGAUAAAAGGUACCCCGGGGAUAACAGGCUGAUCUUGCCCAAGAGUCCAUAUCGACGGCAUGGUUUGGCACCUCGAUGUCGGCUCGUCGCAUCCUGGGGCUGGAGUAGGUCCCAAGGGUUGGGCUGUUCGCCCAUUAAAGCGGUACGCGAGCUGGGUUUAGAACGUCGUGAGACAGUUCGGUCCCUAUCCGCUGUGCGCGUAGGAAACUUGAGAAGAGCUGUCCCUAGUACGAGAGGACCGGGAUGGACGAACCUCUGGUGUGUCAGUUGUUCUGCCAAGAGCACGGCUGAUUAGCUACGUUCGGAAGUGAUAACCGCUGAAAGCAUCUAAGCGGGAAGCACGCUUCAAGAUGAGGUUUCCAUGGGCUUCGGCCCGAGAGGCUCCCAGCUAGACUACUGGGUUGAUAGGCCAGACGUGGAAGCACAGUAAUGUGUGUAGCUGACUGGUACUAAUAAGCCGAUAACUUGACACAACAAAG